CCUACGGGGGGCAGCAGUGAGGAAUAUUGGUCAAUGGGCGCGAGCCUGAACCAGCCAAGUAGCGUGAAGGAUGACUGCCCUACGGGUUGUAAACUUCUUUUAUAAAGGAAUAAAGUGAGGCACGUGUGCCUUUUUGUAUGUACUUUAUGAAUAAGGAUCGGCUAACUCCGUGCCAGCAGCCGCGGUAAUACGGAGGAUCCGAGCGUUAUCCGGAUUUAUUGGGUUUAAAGGGAACGUAGGUGGUGUGUUAAGUCAGAUGUGAAAGUUUGCGGCUUAACCGUAGAAGUGCAUUUGAAACUGGGAGACUUGAGUGCAGAAGAGGUGGGUGGAAUUCGUGGUGUAGCGGUGAAAUGCGUAGAUAUCACGAAGAACACCGGUGGCGAAGGCAGCUCACUGGACUGCAACUGACGCUGAGGCUCGAAAGCGUGGGUAGCAAACAGGAUUAGAUACCCGAGUAGUC
RNAcentral lists this ribosomal RNA (460 nucleotides) under uncultured bacterium. RNAcentral describes it as "partial 16S ribosomal RNA". It matches the Rfam family "Bacterial small subunit ribosomal RNA", at positions 338 to 795 of the family's 1533-position model. The record is from RNAcentral.